This 253-nucleotide ribosomal RNA is filed under the name uncultured bacterium. Its description in RNAcentral is "partial 16S ribosomal RNA". It matches the Rfam family "Bacterial small subunit ribosomal RNA", at positions 524 to 776 of the family's 1533-position model. The record is from RNAcentral.
GACGUAGGGCGCGAGCGUUGUCCGGAUUUAUUGGGCGUAAAGAGCUCGUAGGCGGCUUGUCGCGUCGAAUGUGAAAACCCACGGCUCAACUCCGGGCUUGCAUUCGAUACGGGCAGGCUAGAGUUCGGUAGGGGAGUCUGGAAUUCCUGGUGUAGCGGUGAAAUGCGCAGAUAUCAGGAGGAACACCGGUGGCGAAGGCGGGACUCUGGGCCGAUACUGACGCUGAGGAGCGAAAGCGUGGGGAGCGAACAGG